RNAcentral lists this ribosomal RNA (468 nucleotides) under uncultured bacterium. Its description in RNAcentral is "partial 16S ribosomal RNA". It matches the Rfam family "Bacterial small subunit ribosomal RNA", at positions 28 to 507 of the family's 1533-position model. The record is from RNAcentral.
GACGAACGCUGGCGGCGUGCUUAACACAUGCAAGUCGAACGGAAAGGCCCUGCUUUUGUGGGGUGCUCGAGUGGCGAACGGGUGAGUAACACGUGAGUAACCUGCCCUUGACUUUGGGAUAACUUCAGGAAACUGGGGCUAAUACCGGAUAGGAGCUCCUGCUGCAUGGUGGGGGUUGGAAAGUUUCGGCGGUUGGGGAUGGACUCGCGGCUUAUCAGCUUGUUGGUGGGGUAGUGGCUUACCAAGGCUUUGACGGGUAGCCGGCCUGAGAGGGUGACCGGCCACAUUGGGACUGAGGUCCAGCCCAGGCUCCUGCGGGAGGCAGCAGAGGAGAAUAUUGCACAAUAGGCAGAAGCCUGAUGCAGCAACGCCGCGUGCGGGAUGACGGCCUUCGGGUUGUAAACCGCUUUCGCCUGUGACGAAGCGUGAGUGACGGUAAUGGGUAAAGAAGCACCGGCUAACUACGUG